UGGGGAAUAUUGGACAAUGGGCGAAAGCCUGAUCCAGCCAUGCCGCGUGUGUGAAGAAGGUCUUCGGAUUGUAAAGCACUUUAAGUUGGGAGGAAGGGCAUUAACCUAAUACGUUAGUGUUUUGACGUUACCGACAGAAUAAGCACCGGCUAACUCUGUGCCAGCAGCCGCGGUAAUACAGAGGGUGCAAGCGUUAAUCGGAAUUACUGGGCGUAAAGCGCGCGUAGGUGGUUUGUUAAGUUGGAUGUGAAAUCCACGCGCUCAACCUGGGAACUGCAUUCAAAACUGACUGACUAGAGUAUGGUAGAGGGUGGUGGAAUUUCCUGUGUAGCGGUGAAAUGCGUAGAUAUAGGAAGGAACACCAGUGGCGAAGGCGACCACCUGGACUAAUACUGACACUGAGGUGCGAAAGCGUGGGGAGCAAACA
This 427-nucleotide ribosomal RNA is filed under the name uncultured bacterium. Its description in RNAcentral is "partial 16S ribosomal RNA". It matches the Rfam family "Bacterial small subunit ribosomal RNA", at positions 355 to 774 of the family's 1533-position model. The record is from RNAcentral.